Molecule: ribosomal RNA, 253 nt
Filed under: uncultured bacterium
Lineage: Bacteria
Description: partial 16S ribosomal RNA
Rfam family: Bacterial small subunit ribosomal RNA
Source: RNAcentral
GACGUAGGGCGCGAGCGUUGUCCGGAUUUAUUGGGCGUAAAGAGCUCGUAGGCGGUUUGUUGCGUCGGCUGUGAAAUCCCGAGGCUCAACCUCGGGUCUGCAGUCGAUACGAGCAAACUAGAGUGUUGCAGGGGAGACCGGAAUUCCUGGUGUAGCGGUGAAAUGCGCAGAUAUCAGGAGGAACACCGGUGGCGAAGGCGGGUCUCUGGGCAACAACUGACGCUGAGGAGCGAAAGCGUGGGGAGCGAACAGG